Gorilla gorilla gorilla (western lowland gorilla) is the source of this 111-nucleotide small nuclear RNA. Lineage: Eukaryota; Metazoa; Chordata; Mammalia; Primates; Hominidae. The record is from RefSeq and is a predicted model, not a curated record.
GUGCUUGGCUUCAGAAGCACAUAUGCCAAAAUAAUUAGAAUGAUACAGAGAAGAUUAGCAUGGCCCCUGCACAAGGAUGACAUGCAAAUUCGUGAAGCGUUCCAUAUUUUU